Molecule: ribosomal RNA, 318 nt
Filed under: uncultured eukaryote
Lineage: Eukaryota
Description: partial large subunit ribosomal RNA
Rfam family: Eukaryotic large subunit ribosomal RNA
Source: RNAcentral
AUAUUAUUAAGCGGAGGAAAAGGAACUAACUAGGAUGCCCUCAGUAACGGCGAGUGAAGCGGGCAAAGCUCAACCUGAAAAUCGGGUUUCCAAACGGGAUCUCGAAUUGUGGGCUACAGACGUGUGAUCAGUGUGUGACCCGGGUAUAAGUGUCGUUGGAAAACACUAUCACAGAGGGUGAUAAUCCCGUCCGUGACCCGGAGUUCGCCGCGUACGAUCCGCGCUCGCAGAGUCGCGUUGUUUGGGAUUGUAGCGCUAAAUGGGUGGUAAAUUUCAUCUAAAGCUAAAUAUCGACGAGAGACCGAUAGCGCACAAGUA